GGAUGAGUUGUGUGAAAGUCCUUGGUAAGCUGUGGAUCAAGUAUAUCCUGCCUGGGAAUCCAGCACUGUUCCUCAGGUCCGUAACCCUCCCACUCGACCAAAUACUCCAGCUUGCCCCUCCUGUGUCUCGAGUUGAGGAUGUUCCUGACGCGGUAAGCCGGUUGUCCAUCAAUUUCCAGAGGGGUCGGGGGAGUUUCAGCUGGUACUUCGGUGGCUAGAGGACCAUUGACAACAGGUUUCAGACGUGAUACGUGGAAUGAAGGGGAGAUGCGACUGUGUCGUGGCAGUUCCAGACGGUAGGUGACAUCAUUGACUCGCUUGAGGAUCUUGAAUGGUCCCGUGUACCUCGGUGCUAGUUUUUUACAGCCAUGCACUUGUCUCAAAUCUUUUGUGGACAACCACACCCGAUCGCCGGGUUGGUAAUCAGGGUGUUCCUUGCGGCGUCGAUCUGCUUUGUGUUUGUACAUGUCUGAGGUCUCCCUCAGGCGUCGGUGGGUGUCCGCCCAGACACGCUCACUACGUUUGAACCAGUGGUCAACGGCCGGAGCUGCGGUGGGAGUUGCGUUCCACAGGAACAGUGGGGGUUGGUAACCGAGCACGCACUGGAAGGGGGUGAGAUUGGUAGCCGAAUGACGUAGUGAGUUCUGCGCAUACUCGGCCCAUGGCAAGAACUUGCUCCAAUCCUCUGGGUUAUUGGCACAAAACAUACAGAGAAAUCGCCCCAGUUCCUGAUUGACUCAUUCGGCUUGCCCAUUGGCUUGUGGGUGAUAACCCGAGGUGAGAUUCACUGUCACUCCCAUCUUCAUCAUGAAGCUGGACCACACUCUGGAGGUAAACUGUGGGCCCCUCACUGACAAUCUCCUCAGGAAUGCCGUAAUACCUGAACACAUGCUGGAAUAGAAGUUCGGCUGUCCUGAAUGCAGUGGGGAGAGCAGGUAAGGGAAUGAAACGUACGGACUUGGAGAACCGGUCCACUGCGACUAGAAUUGUGGUAUCUCCUUGGGAUCUAGGCAGGUCUGUUACAAAAUCUACAGAUAUGUGUGACCAUGGGCAUUCAGGGAUAGGUAAGGGCUUGAGCCUCCCAGCGGGGAGGGUCCGAGGUACUUUAUUCUGUGCGCACGAUGAACAGGACUUCACCACCUUGUGUAUGUCUCCUAUCAUAUUGGGCCACCAGUAUUUCUCUUCCUGGAGAUGGUGUGUGCGUUGUGUACCUGGAUGUCCCGUACCGAGUACCGUGUGUGCCCAGAUGAUGAGUUCUUGGCGGUACUCUUCGGGUACGAAGAGUUUUUUAGGAGGACGCUUUACAGGUACUUGGGACUGGGGAAUCUGUUCUAGUUCCGCGUCCAGCUCCCACUCUAGCGCACUGAUAACACAUGAAGGACGAAUGAUGUACUCCUCCUGCUCGUUGACCUGUUCCGUCUGAUGGAGACGAGACAGAGCAUCCGCUUUUGUGUUCUUGGACCCGGGUCUGUAGGAUAACGUGAAUUGAAAUCUAGUGAAGAAUAGGGCCCAUUGGGCCUGGCGGGGUGUGAGUCGCUUUGCAGUGCGAAGGUACUCCAGGUUCUUAUGGUCCGUGAAGAUGACAAAUGGAUGUGUAGCCCCCUCUAACCAGUGUCUCCACUCCUCCAGCGCUAAUUUAACUGCGGAGAGUUCCCGAUUUCCCACAUCGUAGUUUCUCUCAGCUGGGGAAAGCUUUCGCGAGAAGAAGGCCCCCGGGUGAAGUUUUGGCUUCUCUCCAAAUUGUUGGGACAGAAUGGCUCCUACCCCGGUCUCUGAUGCAUCCACCUCCACUAUAAAUGGUCUGGAUGGGUCUGGAUGUUUGAUGAGGGGUGCAGUAGUGAAGGCUUUCUUGAGCUUGUCGAAGGCGGAUUGGGCAGUUGAAUUCCAUGCCAGACGUUUGGGUUUCCCCUUUAGCAGGGAUGUGAGGGGGUUGGCGACGGCACUGAAAUUCCUGAUAAAUAUCCUGUAGAAGUUCGCAAACCCCAGAAACCUCUGUAGUUCCUUGAUCGUCGUGGGUGUGGGCCAGCUUACUAUUGCCUGGACCUUUUCUUGGUCCAUGGAGAUCCCCUCGGGGCUGAUGACGUAUCCCAGAAACGUGAUGGUGGUUCGCUCGCCUUCUUCCUACUGAAUACCUCUAUGAGGUCGUGGUAAACACUGGGGAUCUGAACGUUAUCUGCCUUAUCUGGGCUUUCAAUGGAGGUAGAUGCUAUGGAGAUCACAGGGACCUGAAGACAGUGAUUAAUACAGUGAGCUGGCCAGCGCGUGAUUUCCCUUUGGUUCCAUGAAAUUCGGGGAUUGUGAUGUUCGAGCCCAGGGAGACCGAGAACCACUGGGUGCCGAGCCAUCACUAUGACAUGGAACGUGAUCUUCUCCUGAUGAAGGGCACUGGUUCGGAGGUUAACAGGUUCGGUGCAGUGGGUGAUUAAGCCAUCUCCUAUGGGUUCCCCAUCAAUGGCUUGGACACGGCGAGGGGUGCAGAGAGGACGAACGGGUAUGUUAUAUUGGCGUACAGUCUCUUGGUUAAUGAAAUUCCCCGCCGCUCCCGAGUCGAUCAGUGCUUCUAAAACACAGGAAACACUUGAGUAACCCACUAUAACGGGCAAUACGAAGGCAGACUGAACAGAGUGCUGGGUAAUGGGUUCGAAACUCACCCCUGCCUGAGAUGGUCUGGCAGCUUUGGCUUCCCCUCGGGUAGAGCCCUGUUUGAGAGGGCAUUGUUGCACAAAGUGGCCCUUCUCACCGCAGUAGAAACAGCAGUGUUCACGGCGCUGUCAUUCUCUUUCCUGCAUGCUCACCCGAGUCUGUCCCAGCUGCGUGGGUUCGCUAGAGUGCUCAGGUGUCAGUGCUUCCGCCUCACCACAUCCGGGGCGGCGGCUACGUAGUAGAUGAUCCAGGCGGAUAGCUACGUUGAUGAGUGAGUCGAGGGUCAAAAGAUCAUCGCGGCACGCCAGCUCCGUUAAGAUGUCAGCAUAUAAUCCCCGGCGAAACAUGGCUUUUAGAGCGGGGUCAUUCCAUCCGCUCCGGGCGGCGACCAUGCGAAAUUCGAGGGCGUAAUCCGCCACACUGCACUGAUCCCUGGGCCAUGGACAAUAAGUCCUCCCCAGUCUCCUGGCUGUCUGUAGAGUGAUCAAAUACCGUGCGGAAGCGUGAUGUCAGCUGCUCAAACGUGCUGAUACGGUUCCCUUCCUGUUCCCAUUCCGCAGUAGCCCAGAGGAGAGCUUUCCUGGUUAAAAGUUCCAUGAAGUGAAUGAUCUUCUGACUCUCCGUCAUGUCUGGGUACGUGUAGAAAAACAGGGAGCACUGGAGUAAAAAACCCCGGCAGCGUGCGGGAUCUCCAUCAUACUUCUCCGGCGCUGGAGUGGGAGGUAAGCGUGGGGUCGGCACCGUAGGAGGCUGCGCAGCUUGAUUUAACCGAGCUACCUGCUCAGUUAGGUGGGUGAGAUGGUGAUCAUGUUCGCUAAGCAUCCGGCCAUGUCCCUCGAUGGCGUUCGGCCAACGAUCUCCCGCUGCCUCCAUUAAUAGGCAAAGCAUUCUGACACCAACCUCGAGGCGGUACGGAAGUAGGAGCGGGAGGCGGGUGAACAGCGUAGGAUCGGGAAGUUCAAGAAGCGUAGUCGUAGAAUAGGCAAGGGGCAAGCGAUUGGGUGAACAAUACAAAUGGGGAUAUCCAGAAAGCGUAGUCGAGACAGAAAGCAAGGGUCGAGGAUCACAAGAAACAACGAACUAGAUCGGCUUGGUAACGCUGCAAACUAGACUACUGAGCGUAUACUUCGUGCCGAUUCUAGGUGGAUGUCUUCUCUAAGUACUAGUGUGUGAUUGGUGCCAGGUGUGUCUGAUCAGAACUCCGGGGAUGGGGAGUGCAUGCGUGCCUGAUUAGUGAGUAUUGCAUCCUGGGAAUUUAAGUUCUGAUCAGACCGAGCUGUGACAGUUUUGAGUUUUGCCAAAACUUACUGCUUAUUAGAGAUGCCAAGCAAAGGUGCUUCAAAGUAUUGCGCAAAGGCUGUGAAUACUUAUAAACAUGUGCUUUUUUUUGUUUUUUUUAUUUUUCAGAAAUUUCAUACUCAUUAAAAGAUUUCAAACAAACUUCUUUCAUGUUGUCAUUAUGGUGUAUUGUUUGUAGAAUUUUGAGGAAAGUAAUGAAUUUAACCCAUGUGGGAAUACGGCUGUAACAUAACAAUGGGGAAAAAGUGAAGUGCUGCGAAUACUUUCCGGAUGCACUGUAUAUAGUAUAUUUUAUGUAGUGAAACUGAUCUUGUUCUCUCCCUGUCCCCUACCUAUCUGUAGGUGCUGGGGAAUGGGAAGUGCUGUGUGCAUGUGUGUCUGCCUCCUAAUCUGUUCCAGCUCUAUUAUAAUCACCAGGAUCUGGAUCCCCUGCUUCAGGGGUGGUGCUCACAUCCAGGCAUGCAACAAUGUCUCCAGUCACCUGAAACCCUUAUAAGCUAAUCGAUGUGCCAGAGGAUUACUGUGCACUGAUCAACUAGGCUUUCAGCUUCAUCUGUCCUAGGUCAGAUGGAGUUAAGCCUUGAGCUCAAACUCUGUGCUUGGUGUGUGGCACAAUGCUGUGUUCUCAGAGCAGCUGCUGCCAGACUGAGCUGGAGGGUGAGGACGUUGGAGCAUGUACUGCACACACAUUUGUUUGCUGAGCUGGUGUUAGCAUUUUCCUCAGGGUGAGGGAGAAUCAGGUUCUUUUCCUGUACCUCGAUGACUAUGGAGAACUGUCCAAGGGCUCAGAUGGAGGAAUGCGCUACAGAAAGAUUCAGAAGCUCUGGCGCCAGCACAGCAUCACCGAGGAGAUGGGUCAUGCACAGGAAGCUAAUCAGACUCUGGAGGACAUUGACUGGGAGAUCCUGGAUUUUCUUGGCUAAUGCCAAAUCUAAACUAACCAGGGAUCUGCACAUUUACCUAGAAAUGCCUACAGCCAAAAUCCCCAGUACUGACUGAACACAUCAAAUGCUGAGUUUACUUUUACAGUCUUGAAUUAACACCUCUGCUAACUGCGUCAUCACCUACAGUCCUGAAUUGACAGUUUACUUAACAGCCAUAAUGCUCACUGUUUACAAUGCGAAUUAAAGAUUAUGUAAACCCUGGAAUUGUGAAUUAAGCACACCUUUUGGUUAAAAGAGGGGGGAAAAGAAUUGGUUUAUCACUCGUUGGUUUUGUAAAUAAGGCUUGGUGAAAAUUAGGUGUAAGCUCUGUUUGUGCCACAGGCUAUAUACCCUUCCUCUAGUUUGUUUUCAAUGGAUGUGUACUGUUUUACAAUCUAAGGGCUUUGUUUGCAUCUAUAAUGAUUACACGGAUAAGACAUGUUUACUGUUUGUCACUUUCCUUUUUCUCUCUCUCCUUUUUGGAUAUACCAGUUAAAUAUGUCACAGUUUAGUCAACUGUAACUCUUUUGUUCCUGGUUGUUUGGAAUCAGUUAAUAAACUGUUUUUAAUAUUG
This is a long non-coding RNA of Ictalurus punctatus (channel catfish), 5439 nucleotides long. RefSeq lists it as uncharacterized. NCBI's taxonomy places the organism in Eukaryota, Metazoa, Chordata, Actinopteri, Siluriformes, Ictaluridae. The record is from RefSeq and is a predicted model, not a curated record. The transcript has 7 exons.